This 226-nucleotide long non-coding RNA is filed under the name Ananas comosus (pineapple). RNAcentral describes it as "long non-coding RNA (ACOM_LNC005748)". The record is from RNAcentral. Lineage: Eukaryota; Viridiplantae; Streptophyta; Magnoliopsida; Poales; Bromeliaceae.
AAAAAUGAAGAAGAAUGGUGCUCUGAGCCUCAGCAACCUCCACUGAGCUCCAGAAGUCGUGCUGGCUUCAUAUGGAUGAGAUCAAGAUGUGAAAAGACCGAAAUACCCAAGCUGCCACGUUUCUGCAUUGUGUACCGGUACAAGCUAAUGGCUGUACCGGUACAGCAAGCAGAAAAAGCUGAUUUUCGCCGGUUCAAUGCACUUUCUUGUUUCGGACAUUCCGAUC